Molecule: long non-coding RNA, 463 nt
Organism: Antechinus flavipes (yellow-footed antechinus)
Lineage: Eukaryota; Metazoa; Chordata; Mammalia; Dasyuromorphia; Dasyuridae
Exons: 3
Source: RefSeq, a predicted model, not a curated record
GUUUACUGAACAAAGAGACCCUAUGGCUGAAAAGAACUUGGACAGUUAGAAUGAUAUCACCUGCCUCACUCUUCUAGAACCAAGGAUAUUUUAUUUGAAAAAAGAAGACAAACAGUCCAUAUCCCCAUCUUUCAACUGGAGUCUUUCUUCUUCACACAUCCCCCACUUGCCUUGCAACAGCAGGAUGCAGUCCUGAUAACCAUAUCAUUUUUGCCAGAGCCACAGGAAAAUGCCACUGGAUCACUCCCUUGGCCCUGGGGGCUGAACUUUGCCGAAGAUGGGAAUGAAGGUGCAAGUCAAGAUAUCACCCUCGUUAUGUCACAGGUCUUCUCAAGAACAAAGGAUGAACAACAUCAACAACAAGAACAACAACUCUGUGAUGCUGUGAACUUCCUUUUAUCUUGCCUUUUUUUUGAAAGGAAAGACACAUUAAACAUUAAACCACUGUCUGUAAACAUCAAAA